GAUGAACGCUAGCUACAGGCUUAACACAUGCAAGUCGAGGGGCAGCACAGUGUAGCAAUACAUGGGUGGCGACCGGCGCACGGGUGCGUAACGCGUAUCCAACCUUCCCGUUACUCUUGGAUAGCCUUCCGAAAGGGAGAUUAAUACAGGAUGGUGUUCAAAUUCCGCAUGUUAUUUGAACUAAAGAUUUAUCGGUAACGGAUGGGGAUGCGUGACAUUAGAUAGUAGGCGGGGUAACGGCCCACCUAGUCUACGAUGUCUAGGGGUUCUGAGAGGAAGGUCCCCCACACUGGAACUGAGACACGGUCCAGACUCCUACGGGAGGCAGCAGUGAGGAAUAUUGGUCAAUGGUCGGAAGACUGAACCAGCCAAGUAGCGUGAAGGAUGAAGGUUCCUAUGGAUUGUAAACUUCUUUUAUACGGGAAUAAAACCUCCCACGUGUGGGAGCUUGUAUGGUACCGUAUGAAUAAGCAUCGGCUAAACUCCGUG
RNAcentral lists this ribosomal RNA (489 nucleotides) under uncultured bacterium. RNAcentral describes it as "bacterial SSU rRNA". It matches the Rfam family "Bacterial small subunit ribosomal RNA", at positions 28 to 507 of the family's 1533-position model. The record is from RNAcentral.